This 266-nucleotide unclassified non-coding RNA is filed under the name Hevea brasiliensis (rubber tree). The record is from RNAcentral. Lineage: Eukaryota; Viridiplantae; Streptophyta; Magnoliopsida; Malpighiales; Euphorbiaceae.
GUUCUUGUGUGGGAUGUUGAUGGAGGCUUCUGCACUCAUUAUUUCAAAGGUCACAAGGGGGUUGUCACCAGCAUUAUGUUUCAUCCUGACCCGAAUAGGCUGCUGGUGUUCUCUGGUGGUGAUGAUGGUUCUGUAAGGGUCUGGGAUCUGAUAGGGAAGAAAUGUCUGUCAACACUAGAGAAACAUCAAUCAGCUAUCACUUCCAUGGCAAUAUCUGAAGACGGAUGGACUUUGCUUAGCGCAGGGAGAGACAAGGUUGUAAAUUU